ACGCCUCUAAUCCUUUGUUUGGUUCAAUGUAUUGUUAUUACGGGGCUAAACCAUUACUGACCUAAUCGGUGAAAUCCACCGAUUUCUAAUCCCUGUCUUUAGCUCAGUUUAGGUGCUGCUUCAAGUUUUAUACCCUGUUUACCCUCCCAAUCGACACAUCCCUUUUUCGCCUUCUGUUCCUUCCUUCUAGCUUGGGGUUUCUGCCUAUUUGCUCCCUCUGUCCCUCUGCCUAUAAUACUCUCCAGCAAUAUACACACCGACGCACAAGGAAAGCACUAUUGGUAAGCCUUUAUUUCUCCUACCCUGAACUUUUCUCCAGAAACAAUCACUCUUAUCAUGUUUUUCGUUUCCU
RNAcentral lists this long non-coding RNA (352 nucleotides) under Gossypium barbadense (sea-island cotton). Its description in RNAcentral is "long non-coding RNA (GBAR_LNC011808)". The record is from RNAcentral. Lineage: Eukaryota; Viridiplantae; Streptophyta; Magnoliopsida; Malvales; Malvaceae.